GUGAGACCGAAAGUCCCCUCUCAUGUUAUAUUAGUGGUCGCAUCAUUUUGUGCAUAUACGCUAAGCGUUUAAUUGGUUUUUUAGUGACGUGCCACAAGGGACCAUGCACACUGUCCGACAGCCGCUGAGCCAAUUCGUAUAUUUAAGAAGCUGUGUUGAUGCAGCCUAGUCUUGCAGAGGCCGCCAAAUUUAAUGUCUUGUCAUCGGUCACAAGAAAAGCUAGCAUAAUAAAGUAACGGGGCACGAAAGGUCUUCACGAGUGGUUCAGGCAGCAAUUGAACAACACUUUGAAAUUGAACCUUCAGGCCAUGCGUUCACACGCGCCAGUGCGUUCCGACAGGCUGCGCAGUCCUUUGAAGAAGUGAGAGGCAGCAAUUUUUUGUUGUUGCUUUUGCGUAACAAAUGUUGAAGGACGAAUAUAUAUAAUGACGGAAUAUAUACCAGCUAUACAAAAGCGAUGACGGCGGUUCAUCACACGGGGAAAAACAGCAACCAUCACAUACAGACGUCAGUGACAGUUCAUCUGGCAGUUAGAUCACCUUCCGGCUAAAGGAUGGUUCUGUGUUUUGUUCCGGACUGAUAGAACUCUAGUAAUUAGAGUGAAUAAUGAAAUCAGAAUCAAAUUUAUUUUCGCCAUAUAUGCGGGUGCGCAUGCAACGACCACUAUUAUGAGAGCAAGAGUACGUGGAGACCAGUGUGCAAGUCGCAAGAAGAAGACAUAUCGCGUAAGUAUUACAUUUGCUUUACCAAAAAGCACAAGAUUUCAAUACUUCAAAAACGGAUAUGUUUGCAACACUAUUGUGUCGUUCAUUAUUGCUUUCUUCUUUUGUAGUUAAACUAUCGAGAAAAUAACUAUUUAACGGGGAACAAAAUUUAAUGAAGUGGAUAUUGCAUUAGACAGUUCUCGUAAUAGUCAUCUGAACUGCAGAAAGAGUCAAGCAAAAUUGUUCGCGAACGGCGCGUUAAUUGUAAACGGCCCUGUCGCAGCACAGAAAAAAUCGUCAAACGAACUAAGCGCAGGCGACUCGUGGACUGUACAGUUCUAGGAAACAUUUCAGUUGAAUGUUUUCACUGGGGAGGGUGAAAGAAGCGAUUAUACGAAGGCGAAUUGUGAAGAGAUGUCAAAAUCUGCAAUUUUUCUAGCUAUUGUCGAUUCGUCUAAGAAUAAUUAAGGCUGCAUGCCAAUCAAUGUAAAUCAUAAAAUAGAGCAUUUCUGCUGUCGACGUGGAUUUGAUUGGGAAGAACUAGAGUUAGAUCAAAUUCUUCCAAUUUUCGCUCAAUUAACUAAUGACGUUCAAUAAUCAAGCAGUUAAGAAUUAAUAAAUUCAUGGUAUAUCAUGAGUGUUUUUUCAAGCGCCGUCUCCUGUGAAGCAUAUCUACCAUUUUCGUGCAAAGCUCUCUGGAAAGCGUAUUGACUGUGUAUGCAUGCAUGCACCUAUCGAACUUCGUGCACAUAUAGACGUGAUGCUUUGACGAUAAAUACUUAUUAAAAUUCAAAUUAUUUAUUUCUGCCUUGUAAAGGUACAGACAGCAGAGGCGCAGAAAAAGCUGUCAGAUACAGAUUGACAAAGCCGCAGCCCCCUUUCGCUUGGCAGAGCCUUUACAGCGACACUUUUAAAACAAAGACAAUUGCACCCGGUAAUAACAGGUAUACAAUACUGAGCAAGUACAAAAGGAAACCAAUCAAGAUUAUACGAUAUUUGUACAAUACUCCCAAACAAGAAAACAGAACCUACAUGCUAACGUACAUAGCACCCAAAGUACUGUUCGACACGUUGAAGAGGUCAAAAUUAUUGUUCACAUAAGGUAUAUACAUAUUCGUAUAGCGCUACCAAUCCCUGCAAAAUAUAGAACGCAGAUUUUCAUUACACACACGCACGCACGCACGUGCACAGCACACACACCAAAAGGAAACGGCAACGCGCUCACAGGAAGCGCCUGAAAAACGAAAAAAAAGGAAAAGUGUGGGGAACCGAGGUCGUCUUGGGCUGUCGCCUCUCCCUCUCCCAGAAGGAAUGAAGAGGUUCUUGGAAAGCAGGGACGGGCGAUUCUCUCUGUCAGCAUCAGCUCCCACCAGCGAGGACGGGGCGAGAAAGCGAAACGGGACUUUCCUUGCUGUCUAUUUUUUCUUCGUCAGGCCAACGCCGCUUGCUUGCAGGGGCGCAGGCGAGUUCCCGCCAAAUGGCGCGGGUGCGUGAGUUGCCGCCAAAUGCUAGCUCUGGAUGCCAGCUCGUUCCGCGUCUCAUGGUAGACUAGUUGGUGCAUUUCUGUUAUCAUGGACUGCGCAUAUAAACGCAAGCUACACAAAAGUGACAAGGACAAGAACAGCGCAAGCCCUUUACAUGCAGUGGAGCCGCCGUAUCUCGCCGUUCAAGAUAUGCGUACUCGUAAGUGGCAUUUUAAUUUCACGUUGUGUAAUGCAUGACUGUCUUUUUCAAGUGAACAAAGGUCGCUUUGUAUUGUGUAAAUGGUUUUGCAACGUAUGAUAAACUCCUUGUCUUUCGGGCUUAUUUUUUCUGACAGGAAGAAAAAAAAAAGAGGCUUUACAUGAGAACGGAUCAAGCGUUCGAGAGUUGGGACAGAGAAAUGAAACGCUGGAACGACACUGCUUAAAUUGAAGCACAGUACGUGUGCGAAUGACCUGCUACGCUCGGAACUGUUAUCACCAUUCGGGAAGAAAUUGGAUGAAAAAAUAUAACUGUAAAUACCUGUAUGAUAUACGUCUGGUGCAUUGCAGGUAAGAAUGGAUUGUGUGUGGCGCGCUUCACCGCAUGUGGACUAGAGUAGAUCUAGGAACAUCAGACAAGAAGACACGUAUGUGAAACCCUGCGGAUAGCCCAUAUGUGAACUUUUUUUCCAGAUACGGAGGAACGGACACCGGUCGUGCCGUGAGCACUAUUCUGCAGGGCAUACUUCCAAAUGAAGCUGCACUGCAGUUCAGCUGGAAAGGGUCGCAGGGGAGGAAGCACGCCUUCGUGAAGCUCAUGGCCAUCACGAAUAUAACAUCUGUGAGGAGCACGUUCCCUGACGCUUCACUAGCAUCAGUGGCUGGAGUCGCAAAACGCUGGUUGGUUGGAGCAGCUGACAGGGAUGGAGGCCGGAAUGAAAGAAGGCGCCGUGACCCUGCUUCAAGCCCACCAAAUAUGAACUAGUGUUUGAAACUUGUGAACGUGUCGGUGUACAUAUACAAUUACAAGAAAUAAAGACCUGUAUCAGAA
Molecule: long non-coding RNA, 3218 nt
Organism: Dermacentor andersoni
Lineage: Eukaryota; Metazoa; Arthropoda; Arachnida; Ixodida; Ixodidae
Source: RefSeq, a predicted model, not a curated record